GGCCGGUUAGCUCAGUGGUUUGAGCGCGGUGCUGACAACAACACCGAGGUGGCGGGUUCGAUUCCUGCUCGGUCC
Molecule: transfer RNA, 75 nt
Filed under: Apaloderma vittatum (bar-tailed trogon)
Lineage: Eukaryota; Metazoa; Chordata; Aves; Trogoniformes; Trogonidae
Rfam family: tRNA
About the family: Transfer RNA (tRNA) molecules are approximately 80 nucleotides in length.
Source: Rfam by way of RNAcentral